Molecule: long non-coding RNA, 429 nt
Organism: Helianthus annuus (common sunflower)
Lineage: Eukaryota; Viridiplantae; Streptophyta; Magnoliopsida; Asterales; Asteraceae
Exons: 3
Source: RefSeq, a predicted model, not a curated record
CCAUACCCCACACCGGGCCCACCGGUGACACGUGGAGAAUCGGGGUGUGACAGCCGUAAUGUGAAUAUGAGCAUAGCAAUACUACCAAUGUCAAAGGAGUUUAAUUGGAACAGUGCUACCGUGGGUCUAAUUCAAUCUUCUUUCUUCUGGGGCUAUUUGCUCACUCAGGUGGGCAGUUAGAGGAGGUGUGUUAGACCGCGAUUAACCGGGCUUUUAAGAAGAUGGAUGAGAUUGUUAGAAGUAUUAUUAAACUAUAGAUAUGUUUUAUAUUUAUUCGAACUUAUAUGUAGUUAUGAUAUGUAUUCGGAUGAUAACUUAUGUAUAUUUAGGAUGAUAAGCGGGUGAUGAUUUAAAAAAACAACUGCCGGAGCAGUUACCGCCAAAAUUAACCGCCAAAAUGAUGAUAUAUAUAGUUGAUUGCCGGCAAUU